Non-coding RNA from Alkaliphilus metalliredigens QYMF, 206 nucleotides. Lineage: Bacteria; Bacillati; Bacillota; Clostridia; Peptostreptococcales; Natronincolaceae. The record is from Rfam.
UUAGUGCACCAAGCAAAGGUGAAUCGUACACAGAGAAUCAUAUAGGCCAUAGGGGAGACCAUAAUUCCUGAAGCAUAUUCAGCCUUGUAAGUCGUGGGUCUAGAAAUAGACAAAAUGCAGAUGACGACGUGUUUAACGUCACGGAAGUCAAUACAAAAGAAUCGCUAAAGGUGAGAUUCUUGAGGGUCUGUCGGGGUCCUAUAACA